This 253-nucleotide ribosomal RNA is filed under the name uncultured bacterium. RNAcentral's name for it is "partial 16S ribosomal RNA". It matches the Rfam family "Bacterial small subunit ribosomal RNA", at positions 524 to 776 of the family's 1533-position model. The record is from RNAcentral.
UACGUAGGGGGCAAGCGUUGUCCGGAUUUAUUGGGCGUAAAGAGCGCGUAGGCGGCCCGGAAAGUCGGAUGUGAAAACCCGGGGCUCAACCCCGGGCCUGCAUCCGAUACUCCCGGGCUGGAGGCAGGUAGGGGAGAUCGGAAUUCCUGGUGUAGCGGUGAAAUGCGCAGAUAUCAGGAGGAACACCGGUGGCGAAGGCGGAUCUCUGGGCCUGUCCUGACGCUGAGGCGCGAAAGCUAGGGGAGCGAACAGG